UUAAAAGUAUAGCCUGCCCCCUGAGUAAUUAAAUGGCUGCGGUAAUUUGACCGUGCAAAGGUAGCAUAAUAACUAGUUUUUUAAUUGAAAGCUUGAAUGAAAGGCUGGACGAGGGAAUAACUGUCUCUAUUUAAUUUAAUUAGAAUUUUAUUUUUAAGUAAGAAAGCUUAAAUGAUUUUGAAAGACGAGAAGACCCUAUAGAAUUUUAUAUUUAUUAUAAUAUUAAGGUGUGAGGAAUAAUUGGUUUUGAUAUUUUAAUAAUUAUUUUAUUGGGGCGAUAAAAAAAUUUAAUUAACUUUUUUUAAAUUUAUCCAUUAAUUUAUGAGUAAGUGAUCCAUAUUUUAUGAAUAUAAGAUUAAAUUACCUUAGGGAUAACAGCGUAAUCUUUUUUAAGAGUUCUUAUCGAAAAAAAGGGUUGCGACCUCGAUGUUGGAUUAAAAU
This 441-nucleotide ribosomal RNA is filed under the name Pygopleurus orientalis. Its description in RNAcentral is "partial 16S ribosomal RNA". It matches the Rfam family "Bacterial large subunit ribosomal RNA", at positions 1846 to 2543 of the family's 2925-position model. Lineage: Eukaryota; Metazoa; Arthropoda; Insecta; Coleoptera; Glaphyridae. The record is from RNAcentral.